Molecule: ribosomal RNA, 497 nt
Filed under: Andiorrhinus sp. PG
Lineage: Eukaryota; Metazoa; Annelida; Clitellata; Crassiclitellata; Glossoscolecidae
Description: partial 16S ribosomal RNA
Rfam family: Bacterial large subunit ribosomal RNA
Source: RNAcentral
CAAAAACAUUACCUUAUGAAAUAUAUUAUAUAAGGCAAUUCCUGCCCAGUGAAUAAACUUCAACGGCCGCGGUAUCCUAACCGUGCAAAGGUAGCAUAAUAACUUGUCUAUUAAUUGUAGACUAGAAUGAAAGGAUAAACGAAAUCUUAUCUUUCUCCAUUGGUAAAAUAAAAAUUAUUUUUUAACUGAAGAAAGUUAAAUAUUAUUGAAGGACAAGAAGACCCUGUAGAGCUUUAUAUUAAAUAAUACAAAAUAAAUACAUAUUCGGUUGGGGCGACCUAAGUUUAAAUAAAUCACCUUAACAAUUAAGAGUUAUUACUCAACAAUAGAUCCUUUUUAAGAUCAAUAAAACAAGCUACCUCAGGGAUAACAGGCUAAUAUUUUAAAGAGUUCUCAUCUACAAAAUGAUUGGCACCUCGAUGUUGGCUUAGGAAUUCAAGAAAACGCAAAAGUAUUCUAAUGAUGGUUUGUUCAACCAAUAAUAUCCUACGUGAUCU